This is a long non-coding RNA of Polyodon spathula (Mississippi paddlefish), 1260 nucleotides long. RefSeq lists it as uncharacterized. The record is from RefSeq and is a predicted model, not a curated record. NCBI's taxonomy places the organism in Eukaryota, Metazoa, Chordata, Actinopteri, Acipenseriformes, Polyodontidae. The transcript has 3 exons.
UGUUGGAGGGAUUGUCACAAUUGUGUGUACAGGGCUACUUUGCGCAGGCAUUGUGAUGGAUCUGGCUGCCGCAGAAUCACUUGGAAUCGCUUCAUGACACGCAAUUGGAUACAAAUGUCACCUGACCCUCCCCCGACUUUCAUUGCCCAUUCCACAGUACUAGCACUGCCUUAGAGAAUGAAACCUGAAAUGCUAGACUGAGAAACCGCUCACAGAAUAGAAUGGGAAGCUUGACGUGCGCAGGUAUGGCAUGCUACUGUAAGGGUUUUUUUAUUCUACGCACGUGCGCACGGCAUGGUGUUGAAGUGGUUAAAAGACAGUCAUUUUUUAAAUAUUUUAAAUUCUUUUGGGAACAAUAAGAGGCAGAAAGGGGUUUUUAUCAAUAAGGCAACAGUGGGUUCAGACCUGACUGUUUUGUCACCAGUACACUAUGAGAGCACUAGCAAGGUGAUGAGAGAGCUGGAGGAGGAUGUUACUGAACUCCAUAGGGCUCUGACAGAGGAGUUCAUUUCACUGCAGAGAUGUGUGCUGGCUAUCAGGGAGGAGGGGGCUGUCAGAACAAGCCAAGCUGACAGAGGAGUUCAUUUCACUGCAGAGAUGUGUGCUGGCUAUCAGGGAGGUGGGGGCUGUCAGAACAAGCCAAGCUGACAGAGGAGUUCAUUAUUCUGCAGAGAUGUGUGCUGGCUAUCAGGGAGAACAAGCCUGCCUCUUGUAUGAGCAGCUCAUUUGUUGCUCUUGUUUUUUGUGACACAGAUCUUGUGACAAAUGUUAUUAAAAGGGAAUUGUGGUGAACAACACAUUGUUUCUGUGUCACCCCUGGCAACCCUAUUGUAUUUACAUGCAACUCUCCACAAUAGUCUGCAAUAGAUUUUACACCUCAGUGUGCAGAAUGUAACCCAGCUCUCUUCUUUCACAGAGUCUGUGAGGCGCGAGAGGUCCUUAAAUCAGAAUGGAAGUGGAUCCUCAGCUCAGCAGUUGACAGUUUGUCUCUGGACCUCGAUACAGCACACCCCCGGCUCACCCUGCCUGUGGAUGUGAAACGAGUGAGAAGAACACGACGGGAUCUCCCUGACAAUCCCCAGAGAUUUGAUUCCAGGCGCUGUGUGCUGGGCAGGGAGGGCUUCACCUCAGGGAGACACUACUGGGAGCUGGGGGUGGGAGAGAAUACAUUCUGGAGAUUAGGAGUCAGCAGAGAGUCUGCCCUGAGGAAGGGGGGGUUCAGCAUUACCCCCCAGCAGGGUUACUGGACUGUGGGGUGGG